GACGAACUGUCCUAACGUUGUUCGGAAUCACUGGGCUUAAAGGGCGCGUAGGCGGUCCGACAAGUCUGGGGUGAAAUCCUGCAGCUUAACUGCAGAAGUGCCUUUGAUACUGUCGGUCUCGAGGGAGAUAGGGGUGUGCGGAACUUCCAGUGGAGCGGUGAAAUGCGUUGAUAUUGGAAGGAACGCCGGAGGCGAAAGCGGCGCACUGGAUCUCUUCUGACGCUGAGGCGCGAAAGCUAGGGGAGCAAACGGG
RNAcentral lists this ribosomal RNA (253 nucleotides) under uncultured bacterium. Its description in RNAcentral is "partial 16S ribosomal RNA". It matches the Rfam family "Bacterial small subunit ribosomal RNA", at positions 524 to 776 of the family's 1533-position model. The record is from RNAcentral.